This is a long non-coding RNA of Salvia miltiorrhiza (redroot sage), 360 nucleotides long. RefSeq lists it as uncharacterized. The transcript has 2 exons. The record is from RefSeq and is a predicted model, not a curated record. Lineage: Eukaryota; Viridiplantae; Streptophyta; Magnoliopsida; Lamiales; Lamiaceae.
UUAAGGUCAAGCGCGAGAGUAAGAACUACACAAGGAGUUAGAGUACCUUAGCAAAACUUUGCUAUCAGGUUGAGUUGUGAUGGGCGAUGAAGUGUUGCUGAGUGGAGUUUUUGUCGAACUUAAAGUAGGCUCAGAAAGGAUACAUGUCUUCAUACAUGUAUCUCAGUUAUGCAUUCCGCUGUAAACACUGAUUAUUUCAGUUACACCUUCCGUUACAAACUCUGAUAAUGUUUUAGCCAAGCCCCUAACGAUGCCUUUUUUUUCCUUUUAAGGAAUAUAACGCGUAUACAAGUUCUUUGAGUACCCUUUUUAUGCGAACUAUGCCUUUUUCCUUUUUAAGGAAUAUUUCACGCGUAUUCA